GCCGAACCGUACGAACGUUAUUCGGAAUCACUGGGCUUAAAGGGUGCGUAGGCGGCGCGACAAGUUGGGUGUGAAAUCCCUCGGCUCAACCGAGGAACUGCGCCCAAAACUGUCGUGCUCGAGGGAGACAGAGGUGAGCGGAACUUAGGGUGGAGCGGUGAAAUGCGUUGAUAUCCUAAGGAACACCGGUGGCGAAAGCGGCUCACUGGGUCUCUUCUGACGCUGAGGCACGAAAGCUAGGGUAGCGAACGGG
This 253-nucleotide ribosomal RNA is filed under the name uncultured bacterium. RNAcentral's name for it is "partial 16S ribosomal RNA". It matches the Rfam family "Bacterial small subunit ribosomal RNA", at positions 524 to 776 of the family's 1533-position model. The record is from RNAcentral.